AGGGAAAUGGCUCAGUGGUAGAGCACAUGCUUAGCAAUGCAGAAGGUCCUGGGUUCAAUCCCCAGUACCUCCA
This 73-nucleotide transfer RNA is filed under the name Camelus bactrianus (Bactrian camel). It matches the Rfam family "tRNA". From Rfam's summary of the family: Transfer RNA (tRNA) molecules are approximately 80 nucleotides in length. Their secondary structure includes four short double-helical elements and three loops (D, anti-codon, and T loops). Lineage: Eukaryota; Metazoa; Chordata; Mammalia; Artiodactyla; Camelidae. The record is from Rfam by way of RNAcentral. RNAcentral also lists the same sequence under 2 other names.